Molecule: ribosomal RNA, 427 nt
Filed under: uncultured Roseburia sp.
Lineage: Bacteria; Bacillati; Bacillota; Clostridia; Lachnospirales; Lachnospiraceae
Description: bacterial SSU rRNA
Rfam family: Bacterial small subunit ribosomal RNA
Source: RNAcentral
UGGGGAAUAUUGCACAAUGGGGGGAAACCCGUACGAUGCAGCGACGCCGCGUGAACGAAGAAGUAUUUCGGUAUGUAAAGCUCUAUCAGCAGGGAAGAAGAAUGACGGUACCUGACUAAGAAGCACCGGCUAAAUACGCGCCAGCAGCCGCGGUAAUACGUAUGGUGCAAGCGUUAUCCGGAUUUACUGGGUGUAAAGGGAGCGCAGGCGGUACGGCAAGUCUGAUGUGAAAGCCCGGGGCUCAACCCCGGUACUGCAUUGGAAGCUGUCGGACUAGAGUGUCGGAGGGGUAAGUGGAAUUCCUAGUGUAGCGGUGAAAUGCGUAGAUAUUAGGAGGAAUACCAGUGGCGAAGGCAGUCUCCUGGGCAAAUACUGACGCUCAUAUGCGAAAGCGUGGGUAGCAAACAGGAUUAGAUACCCUGGUAGU